Molecule: unclassified non-coding RNA, 361 nt
Filed under: soil metagenome
Description: partial contains 5.8S ribosomal RNA, internal transcribed spacer 2, and large subunit ribosomal RNA
Rfam family: 5.8S ribosomal RNA (bases 1-120)
Source: RNAcentral
GAUGAAGGACGCAGCGAAAUGCGAUAAGUAAUGUGAAUUGCAGAAUUUAGUGAAUCAUCGAAUCUUUGAACGCAUAUUGCGCCCGCCAGCACUCUGGCGGGCAUGCCUGUUCGAGCGUCAUUUCAACCCUCAGGCCUCGCGUCUGGCGUUGGGGCGCUGCGGCCCUCCCGCAGGCCCCCAAAUUUAGCGGCGGAUUCCCCGCGGCCCUGAGCGCAGUAGAGAGUAAAAACUUUAACGCUCCGGCGGCCGUGGCGCGGUUCUGCCUCUUUCCCAAUAGCGCCAAUAGCGCCACCCCCAAAAAAGUUGACCUCGGAUCAGGUAGGACUACCCGCUGAACUUAAGCAUAUCAAUAAGCGGAGGA